GACGAACGCUGGCGGCGUGCCUAAUACAUGCAAGUUGAGCGCUGAAGGUUGGUACUUGUACCGACUGGAUGAGCAGCGAACGGGUGAGUAACGCGUGGGGAAUCUGCCUUUGAGCGGGGGACAACAUUUGGAAACGAAUGCUAAUACCGCAUAAAAACUUUAAACACAAGUUUUAAGUUUGAAAGAUGCAAUUGCAUCACUCAAAGAUGAUCCCGCGUUGUAUUAGCUAGUUGGUGAGGUAAAGGCUCACCAAGGCGAUGAUACAUAGCCGACCUGAGAGGGUGAUCGGCCACAUUGGGACUGAGACACGGCCCAAACUCCUACGGGAGGCAGCAGUAGGGAAUCUUCGGCAAUGGACGAAAGUCUGACCGAGCAACGCCGCGUGAGUGAAGAAGGUUUUCGGAUCGUAAAACCCUGUUGGUAGAGAAGAACGUUGGUGAGAGUGGAGAGCUCAUCAAGUGACGGUAACUACCCAGAAAGGGACGGCUAACUACGUG
RNAcentral lists this ribosomal RNA (497 nucleotides) under uncultured bacterium. RNAcentral's name for it is "partial 16S ribosomal RNA". It matches the Rfam family "Bacterial small subunit ribosomal RNA", at positions 28 to 507 of the family's 1533-position model. The record is from RNAcentral.